UCCUAUAAACAAAUAUCCUUAUUCAGGAAUGUUACCAACUUGGGCAUAACCUAGAUAAAUGGAGAACUGGCUUUUUGGGCUAGUUUUCAAUUUAU
Regulatory RNA element from Listeria monocytogenes EGD-e, 95 nucleotides. It matches the Rfam family "Listeria sRNA rli52". The record is from Rfam. NCBI's taxonomy places the organism in Bacteria, Bacillati, Bacillota, Bacilli, Caryophanales, Listeriaceae.